This 451-nucleotide ribosomal RNA is filed under the name uncultured bacterium. RNAcentral describes it as "partial 16S ribosomal RNA". It matches the Rfam family "Bacterial small subunit ribosomal RNA", at positions 29 to 523 of the family's 1533-position model. The record is from RNAcentral.
AGCGAACGCUGGCGGCAGGCUUAACACAUGCAAGUCGAGCGGGCAUCUUCGGGUGUCAGCGGCGGACGGGUGAGUAACGCGUGGGAACGUGCCUUCUGGUUCGGAAUAACUCAGGGAAACUUGAGCUAAUACCGGAUACGCCCUUUUGGGGAAAGGUUUACUGCCGGAAGAUCGGCCCGCGUCUGAUCAGCUAGUUGGUGGGGUAACGGCCUACCAAGGCGACGAUCAGUAGCUGGUCUGAGAGGAUGAUCAGCCACACUGGGACUGAGACACGGCCCAGACUCCUACGGGAGGCAGCAGUGGGGAAUAUUGGACAAUGGGGGCAACCCUGAUCCAGCCAUGCCGCGUGAGUGAUGAAGGCCUUAGGGUUGUAAAGCUCUUUUAUCCGGGACGAUAAUGACGGUACCGGAGGAAUAAGCCCCGGCUAACUUCGUGCCAGCCGCCGCGGUAA